This 767-nucleotide long non-coding RNA is filed under the name Monodelphis domestica (gray short-tailed opossum). RNAcentral's name for it is "lncRNA (ENSMODG00000038705.1)". The record is from RNAcentral. Lineage: Eukaryota; Metazoa; Chordata; Mammalia; Didelphimorphia; Didelphidae.
CCAUGAUAUAAAGAGACAUAUUUAACCACCUGCUGAAAGAAAUCUUAGAGGCCAGAGUGGUCACUUUCAUUUCUCAAAUGAAGAAAUUGAGGAUCAGAGACAGGGAGGUCUGACAUCUCUGUCUACGGUCAGAGAAGUUGCUGAUCCCAGACUUCAGAGUCAGUCUCCCAUAUUGCUUUUCGAAUCACAGAAUCUGGCCAAAGAUACACAGAAGAUUAGAGCUGGAAAGUAAUUUAGUGACCCGAUGUUGGCAUUUUACAAAUUAAAAAUGAAAAAGGAAGGAUCAGGAGGUGAAGACCCAAGUGGGCUUCUCAGUCCUCCACCAAUACAGUGUCAUUUUUUCCUACAUCCAGAGCAUGAUCACUUCUGUUCCCAUUCCUGGCCCUAUGAUUAUGUGAUUCUCAUCAAUAUUUUGCUAUUAUUACACCACAGUAAUUAUUUCCAUUAUGAGGAAGCACCCUUUGGAUGAGGUUACUGCUGCUGCCACCAUGAAGCCGAGUUAACAUGAGGUGGAAAUCAGCCUUAAAAUCUAGGGGCUGUCCCUGCCAUCACUGUGCUGUCUGACAAUCACAAUAUUAAAUGUCCCCAGGACAAUGCUGUGGGCAGUUCCAGAUACCCUGCCUUGGCUAUACCUCUGCCCUAAAACUGGACCAGGGUCUUUCCUAUUGUCAGAGUUUCUCAUAAAACUGAUAAAUAGAUAAUCUGUCCACUUUGAACACCAAGAAAAAGAGAAAAACUGUGUCAUUGACUAUCACUCUCUACGCUCU